GGGUUGUGAGGUUAAGCGACUAAGCGUACACGGUGGAUGCCCUGGCAGUCAGAGGCGAUGAAGGACGUGCUAAUCUGCGAUAAGCGCCGGUAAGGUGAUAUGAACCGUUAUAACCGGCGAUUUCCGAAUGGGGAAACCCAGUGUGAUUCGUCACACUAUCAUUAACUGAAUCCAUAGGUUAAUGAGGCGAACCGGGGGAACUGAAACAUCUAAGUACCCCGAGGAAAAGAAAUCAACCGAGAUUCCCCCAGUAGCGGCGAGCGAACGGGGAGGAGCCCAGAGCCUGAAUCAGCAUGUGUGUUAGUGGAAGCGUCUGGAAAGGCGCGCGAUACAGGGUGACAGCCCCGUACACAAAAGCGCAUGUGCUGUGAGCUCGAUGAGUAGGGCGGGACACGUGGUAUCCUGUCUGAAUAUGGGGGGACCAUCCUCCAAGGCUAAAUACUCCUGACUGACCGAUAGUGAACCAGUACCGUGAGGGAAAGGCGAAAAGAACCCCGGCGAGGGGAGUGAAAAAGAACCUGAAACCGUGUACGUACAAGCAGUGGGAGCACAGGUUUACCUGUGUGACUGCGUACCUUUUGUAUAAUGGGUCAGCGACUU
This 600-nucleotide ribosomal RNA is filed under the name Salmonella enterica subsp. enterica. RNAcentral's name for it is "partial 23S ribosomal RNA". It matches the Rfam family "Bacterial large subunit ribosomal RNA", at positions 1 to 629 of the family's 2925-position model. Lineage: Bacteria; Pseudomonadati; Pseudomonadota; Gammaproteobacteria; Enterobacterales; Enterobacteriaceae. The record is from RNAcentral.